Molecule: long non-coding RNA, 152 nt
Organism: Chelonia mydas (Green sea turtle)
Lineage: Eukaryota; Metazoa; Chordata; Testudines; Cheloniidae
Exons: 3
Source: RefSeq, a predicted model, not a curated record
GGAGUUCAGAUGUGUGCCCUUGCCCGGACCCCUCCUGGCGGUCGAGGAUUGUGGCGACAACCGACGCCCAGUGCACACCAGUGAGUUCAUUGGGGGCCUCCGAGGAGACGCGAUUCGAUCGACCCCGGAGGGCACAAUGGUGCAACGCACUC